ACUCCUACGGGAGGCAGCAGUGGGGAAUAUUGGACAAUGGGCGAAAGCCUGAUCCAGCCAUGCCGCGUGUGUGAAGAAGGUCUUCGGAUUGUAAAGCACUUUAAGUUGGGAGGAAGGGCAGUAAGUUAAUACCUUGCUGUUUUGACGUUUACCAACAGAAUAGCAACCGGCAUAACUUCCGGUGCCAGCAGCCGCGGUAAUACGAAGGGUGCAAGCGUUAAUCGGAAUUACUGGGCGUAAAGCGCGCGUAGGUGGUUUCGUUAAGUUGGAUGUGAAAGCCCCGGGCUCAACCUGGGAACUGCAUCCAAAACUGGCGAGCUAGAGUAUGGCAGAGGGUGGUGGAAUUUCCUGUGUAGCGGUGAAAUGCGUAGAUAUAGGAAGGAACACCAGUGGCGAAGGCGACCCACCU
This 409-nucleotide ribosomal RNA is filed under the name uncultured bacterium. RNAcentral describes it as "bacterial SSU rRNA". It matches the Rfam family "Bacterial small subunit ribosomal RNA", at positions 335 to 730 of the family's 1533-position model. The record is from RNAcentral.